UUGGGAAAAUUACUUUGUAGUCCCUCAGGUUUAACGUAAUUAACACUUCUGUCCCUCUAUUUUGGCGACCCAACACUUAAGUCCCUCACUUUCUCUUCCGUCCAAUUUCGCAGUCCUUCCGUUCAAAAUAGCCGUUUGGGACACGUGAAUUGACAAAAUUAACCCUCUCCUUCUUCUUCUUCUUCUUCUUCUUCUUCUUCUUCUUCUUCUUCUUCUUCUUCUUCUUCUUCUUCUUCUUUCUUCUUC
RNAcentral lists this long non-coding RNA (246 nucleotides) under Manihot esculenta (cassava). RNAcentral describes it as "long non-coding RNA (MESC_LNC007039)". The record is from RNAcentral. Lineage: Eukaryota; Viridiplantae; Streptophyta; Magnoliopsida; Malpighiales; Euphorbiaceae.